RNAcentral lists this transfer RNA (86 nucleotides) under Methanobacteriota archaeon. RNAcentral's name for it is "Euryarchaeota archaeon tRNA-Ser". It matches the Rfam family "tRNA". From Rfam's summary of the family: Transfer RNA (tRNA) molecules are approximately 80 nucleotides in length. RNAcentral also lists the same sequence under 1 other name. Lineage: Archaea; Methanobacteriati; Methanobacteriota. The record is from RNAcentral.
GCGGACGUCGCAUAGCCUGGUAUCGCGCCGGAUUUGAAAUCCGGUGGUAUUUCGCCGCGGGAGUUCGAAUCUCUCCGUCCGCGCCA